GAUGAACGCUGGCGGCGUGCCUAAUACAUGCAAGUCGAGCGAACAGACGAGGAGCUUGCUCCUCUGACGUUAGCGGCGGACGGGUGAGUAACACGUGGAUAACCUACCUCUAAGACUGGGAUAACUUCGGGAAACCGGAGCUAAUACCGGGUAAUAUAUUGAACCGCAUGGUUCAAUAGUGAAAGACGGUUUUGCUGUCACUUAUAGAUGGAUCCGCGCCGCAUUAGCUAGUUGGUAAGGUAACGGCUUACCAAGGCAACGAUGCGUAGCCGACCUGAGAGGGUGAUCGGCCACACUGGAACUGAGACACGGUCCAGACUCCGACGGGGGGCAGCAGUAGGGAAGAGUCCGCGAUGGGCGAAAGCGUGACGGAGCAACGCCGCGUGAGUGAUGAAGGUCUUCGGAUCGUAAAACUCUGUGAGUAGGGAAGAACAAAUGUGUAAGUAACUAUGCACGUCGUGACGGUACCUAAUCAGAAAGCCACGGCUAACUAUG
RNAcentral lists this ribosomal RNA (495 nucleotides) under uncultured bacterium. RNAcentral describes it as "partial 16S ribosomal RNA". It matches the Rfam family "Bacterial small subunit ribosomal RNA", at positions 28 to 505 of the family's 1533-position model. The record is from RNAcentral.